This 591-nucleotide long non-coding RNA is filed under the name Anser cygnoides (Swan goose). Its description in RNAcentral is "lncRNA (ENSACDG00005004560.1)". The record is from RNAcentral. Lineage: Eukaryota; Metazoa; Chordata; Aves; Anseriformes; Anatidae.
AGGGCAUUUGUGCCUUAAUUUCCAGGAGCUGGAUUGAGGUAAGUUUGCACCUAUGGAUGAUCCACGGCAGCUUUCUAAACUCGAUCUGGAGGAGAAAAAGGAGAGGAUGGAUGAAUAUGAGCAAAGAGCUGUCCUUAGCCAGCAAGACCCAGUAACCACAGAGCAAACAAAAAUUGCUGCUUUGGAGACACCAGCAAGCGCUUUCUGACGUUACGGGCUUCAGCUGCUGCAGAAACUUUAUUUGGAACCAGCAAUUAAACCAGGAAAAGAUGAGUGAGAAGCAGCAUAUCAAGAUACCCCAGAUUUUUGUUUGCCAUCCAUCUCCUUUUGUCCCUGAUUUUCUGAAAAAAAAAUUAAAAAAAAUCCCCCUCUCCUUUGCCUGCCAGAGGUCCCAAAAUGUAUUAAACACAAGACAGCCAUGUCCACACCCUUGCACAGGUCCGGCGGCAGAGACAAGGUGGGAGCCAGCCCCAAAGCUCAGGGUCUGCGCGGCAGGCUCCAGGGUGCUCCAGAAGACGCGCUGCUGUACCCCACAUGGGCCUGCGGCAGGCUGAGCACACCGUGCUGGCACGCAGGCUCCAGCAGGCUGUG